This 269-nucleotide unclassified non-coding RNA is filed under the name uncultured Lactarius. RNAcentral's name for it is "sequence contains ITS2". The record is from RNAcentral. Lineage: Eukaryota; Fungi; Basidiomycota; Agaricomycetes; Russulales; Russulaceae.
AAACCUCAACCUCCUUGGUUUCUUCUGGAGACCAAAGCAGGCUUGGACUUUGGAGGCCUUUGCUGGCACCUCUCUCUUUUGAAGGUCAGCUCCUCUUACAUGAAUUAGCAGGGUCCUCUUUGCUGAUCCUCGACGUGUGAUAAGAUGUUUCCAUGUCUUGGUUUCUGGCUCUGUCACUCUUGGGACCCGCUUCUAACCGUCUUGACCUUGCGUCGAGACAAUGUUCGAGCAUGUCUCCCAUCUCGGGAAGCUCCCUCGACCCCACGAAC